UUAUCAGGAAGGUUUAUCUUACCUGUUUUCUUAGAAAUAAGAUUACAGAAUAUGUUGGAUGGAUUCAAUGAGUACAUGAUUAUGCUCUGUGUUUUUUAGGGUUUGCAGCUCCUUCGUGAAUCCUGUCUGAU
This is a small nucleolar RNA of Labeo rohita (rohu), 131 nucleotides long. RefSeq annotates it as U8 small nucleolar RNA. The transcript has a single exon. The record is from RefSeq and is a predicted model, not a curated record. NCBI's taxonomy places the organism in Eukaryota, Metazoa, Chordata, Actinopteri, Cypriniformes, Cyprinidae.